GUUGAAAUAACAAUAAAAUAAGACUGAAGAUCUAAAGGUCCCCGGUUCAAUCCCGGGUUUCGGCA
RNAcentral lists this transfer RNA (65 nucleotides) under Tribolium castaneum (red flour beetle). It matches the Rfam family "tRNA". Rfam says of the family: Transfer RNA (tRNA) molecules are approximately 80 nucleotides in length. Lineage: Eukaryota; Metazoa; Arthropoda; Insecta; Coleoptera; Tenebrionidae. The record is from Rfam by way of RNAcentral.